This 136-nucleotide ribosomal RNA is filed under the name uncultured eukaryote. RNAcentral's name for it is "partial 18S ribosomal RNA". It matches the Rfam family "Eukaryotic small subunit ribosomal RNA", at positions 1299 to 1458 of the family's 1831-position model. The record is from RNAcentral.
UCGUGGGUGACUUGUCUGUUUAAUUACGAUAACGAACGAGACCUUAACCUGCUAAAUAGCCCGGCUAGCUUUGGCUGGUCGCCGGCUUCUUAGAGGGACUAUCGGUUCAAGCCGAUGGAAGUUUGAGGCAAUAACA